GGCGAGCCGAACUCGCCGAGCCGGAGCCGGGCCCCGCGGCAUGGCCUCCUCCGACGCCUCGUCGCUCUUGGGCGCGGGCAGCCCCGACCCCGCACAGGGUCUCUCCUUGGUCUGGAGCUUCUUCUCUCUGUCUCCCCAGGGCUGGGACCACAGGGGUGUGUCACCAUAUCUGGCCCUCGACAUAGGUUCUGGAGCUCACUUCUGGUCCUCAGGCUUACUAGACAAGCACCCUGCCCACGGAGCCAUCACUGAGCCCGCAGCUUUCAGAUCGCCUUGAUCAGCUGCCUGCUGCUCUUCUCACGUACGGUUAAGGGAAGGAACUGUUGAAAACCCGGGUGCUAACGUACAUUUUAGACCUGGCCUUUGAGAACAAGACAAGCCAAGGUGAAUUGGAGCACUGUGGUAGAAUCAAGAAUUGCAGGCCACUGCAUUGGAAAGACUGUACCCCAAAGAGUUUCAAAGAUAACCACAGUGAUUCAUCAGUAGCUAUUUUGCACCUGCAGCAUCUAGCAAAAUCUGUGUACCAACAGCUUUUCUGGAGAGUGCUGGGGUUCCUGACUGAGAGCCAUGGCUGCCCUAGCAUGGGGCUUCCCAUUCUCCACCCCACAGUGAUCUCCAUGGAAUCUGCCCAAAGUCUCUGUGAACACAGUGUUGCUGAGUAUCAGACACAGAACUUGGCACACUUUAGGUCCUCCAUUGAUGUUUAUUGAGUGAAAAAUUGACUAAAACCUGAGAAGUCCCUCACAUUUCAGAUUUGAGAGCAGCUUUGAUGGUUUAAGUACACACCUUCAAGUUCCUAUCAUGUGACAACCACUCUUAGGCAUGCAGCAAUAGUCUUGAGUUUUAGUCUGAACCAAUUUAUGAUCCACCUGGAUAGAGAAGACGUAUGCAUCCUGAAAACAUUGCUACAUGGCCUAGUAAUGCUAGCCUUUCUUUCUGUUUCUUCUUUCCCCUUCACUCCCCCCUUUCUCUAUAACCUCUCAAAUUUGAUAUUGUCAGUAAUAUAAUAAUAAAUGGCCGUGACAACUCA
Molecule: long non-coding RNA, 1030 nt
Organism: Jaculus jaculus (lesser Egyptian jerboa)
Lineage: Eukaryota; Metazoa; Chordata; Mammalia; Rodentia; Dipodidae
Exons: 2
Source: RefSeq, a predicted model, not a curated record